Molecule: ribosomal RNA, 643 nt
Filed under: Haemophilus influenzae
Lineage: Bacteria; Pseudomonadati; Pseudomonadota; Gammaproteobacteria; Pasteurellales; Pasteurellaceae
Description: bacterial LSU rRNA
Rfam family: Bacterial large subunit ribosomal RNA
Source: RNAcentral
GUUUGAAGAAGGGGGGACCAUCCUCCAAGGCUAAAUACUCCUGAUUGACCGAUAGUGAACCAGUACUGUGAAGGAAAGGCGAAAAGAACCCCGGUGAGGGGAGUGAAAUAGAACCUGAAACCUUGUACGUACAAGCAGUGGGAGCCUGAAAGGGUGACUGCGUACCUUUUGUAUAAUGGGUCAGCGACUUAUAUUUUGUAGCGAGGUUAACCGAAUAGGGGAGCCGAAGGGAAACCGAGUCUUAACUGGGCGACGAGUUGCAAGGUAUAGACCCGAAACCCGGUGAUCUAGCCAUGGGCAGGUUGAAGGUUGGGUAACACUAACUGGAGGACCGAACCGACUAAUGUUGAAAAAUUAGCGGAUGACUUGUGGCUGGGGGUGAAAGGCCAAUCAAACCGGGAGAUAGCUGGUUCUCCCCGAAAUCUAUUUAGGUAGAGCCUUGAGGUGACACCUUUGGGGGUAGAGCACUGUUUCGGCUAGGGGGCCAUCCCGGCUUACCAACCCGAUGCAAACUACGAAUACCAAAGAGUGAUACUCAGGAGACACACGGCGGGUGCUAACGUCCGUCGUGGAGAGGGAAACAACCCAGACCGCCAGCUAAGGUCCCCAAGUCUAUAUUAAGUGGGAAACGAAGUGGGAAGGC